GAAUUACUGGGCGUAAAGGGCAUGCAGGUGGUUUGUUAAGUCAGAUGUGAAAGCCCGGGGCUCAACCUCGGAAUUGCAUUUGAAACUGGCAAACUAGAGUACUGUAGAGGGGGGUAGAAUUUCAGGUGUAGCGGUGAAAUGCGUAGAGAUCUGAAGGAAUACCGGUGGCGAAGGCGGCCCCCUGGACAGAUACUGACACUCAGAUGCGAAAGCGUGGGGAGCAAACAGGAUUAGAUACCCUGGUAGUCCACGCCGUAAACGAUGUCUACUUGGAGGUUGUGGCCUUGAGCCGUGGCUUUCGGAGCUAACGCGUUAAGUAGACCGCCUGGGGAGUACGGUCGCAAGAUUAAAACUCAAAUGAAUUGACGGGGGCCCGCACAAGCGGUGGAGCAUGUGGUUUAAUUCGAUGCAACGCGAAGAACCUUACCUACUCUUGACAUCUACAGAAGCCAGCGGAGACGCAGGUGUGCCUUCGGGAACUGUAAGACAGGUGCUGCAUGGCUGUCGUCAGCUCGUGUUGUGAAAUGUUGGGUUAAGUCCCGCAACGAGCGCAACCCUUAUCCUUGUUUGCCAGCACUUCGGGUGGGAACUCCAGGGAGACUGCCGGUGAUAAACCGGAGGAAGGUGGGGACGACGUCAAGUCAUCAUGGCCCUUACGAGUAGGGCUACACACGUGCUACAAUGGCGCAUACAGAGGGCGGCCAACUUGCGAAAGUGAGCGAAUCCCAAAAAGUGCGUCGUAGUCCGGAUUGGAGUCUGCAACUCGACUCCAUGAAGUCGGAAUCGCUAGUAAUCGUGGAUCAGAAUGCCACGGUGAAUACGUUCCCGGGCCUUGUACACACCGCCCGUCACACCAUGGGAGUGGGCUGCAAAAGAAGUGGGUAGUUUAACCUUCGGGAGGACGCUCACCACUUUGUGGUUCAUGACUGGGGUGAAGUCGUAACAAGGUAACCG
Molecule: ribosomal RNA, 954 nt
Filed under: uncultured bacterium
Lineage: Bacteria
Description: bacterial SSU rRNA
Rfam family: Bacterial small subunit ribosomal RNA
Source: RNAcentral